Molecule: ribosomal RNA, 253 nt
Filed under: uncultured bacterium
Lineage: Bacteria
Description: partial 16S ribosomal RNA
Rfam family: Bacterial small subunit ribosomal RNA
Source: RNAcentral
CACGUAGGGGACGAGCGUUGUCCGGAUUCAUUGGGCGUAAAGCGCGCGUAGGCGGCUCGGAAAGUCGGGCGUGAAAUGCCGGGGCUCAACCCCGGGACUGCGUCCGAUACUUCCGAGCUGGAGGUAGGUAGGGGAGAUCGGAAUUCCUGGUGUAGCGGUGAAAUGCGCAGAUAUCAGGAAGAACACCUAUGGCGAAGGCAGCACUCUGGGACGGUACUGACGCUGAGACGCGAAAGCGUGGGGAGCGAACAGG